RNAcentral lists this ribosomal RNA (1420 nucleotides) under uncultured bacterium. RNAcentral's name for it is "bacterial SSU rRNA". It matches the Rfam family "Bacterial small subunit ribosomal RNA". The record is from RNAcentral.
GAGUUUGAUCAUGGCUCAGGACGAACGCUGGCAGCGUGCUUAACACAUGCAAGUCGAACGAAGAGCGAUGGAAGCUUGCUUCUAUCAAUCUUAGUGGCGAACGGGUGAGUAACGCGUAAUCAACCUGCCCUUCAGAGGGGGACAACAGUUGGAAACGACUGCUAAUACCGCAUACGAUCUAACCUCGGCAUCGAGGAAAGAUGAAAGGUGGCCUCUAUGUAUAAGCUAUCACUGAAGGAGGGGAUUGCGUCUGAUUAGCUAGUUGGAGGGGUAACGGCCCACCAAGGCGAUGAUCAGUAGCCGGUCUGAGAGGAUGAACGGCCACAUUGGGACUGAGACACGGCCCAGACUCCUACGGGAGGCAGCAGUGGGGAAUCUUCCGCAAUGGACGAAAGUCUGACGGAGCAACGCCGCGUGAGUGGUGACGGCCUUCGGGUUGUAAAGCUCUGUUAAUCGGGACGAAAGGCCUUCUUGCGAAUAGUUAGAAGGAUUGACGGUACCGGAAUAGAAAGCCACGGCUAACUACGUGCCAGCAGCCGCGGUAAUACGUAGGUGGCAAGCGUUGUCCGGAAUUAUUGGGCGUAAAGCGCGCGCAGGCGGAUCAGUCAGUCUGUCUUAAAAGUUCGGGGCUUAACCCCGUGAGGGGACGGAAACUGCUGAUCUAGAGUAUCGGAGAGGAAAGUGGAAUUCCUAGUGUAGCGGUGAAAUGCGUAGAUAUUAGGAAGAACACCAGUGGCGAAGGCGACUUUCUGGACGAAAACUGACGCUGAGGCGCGAAAGCCAGGGGAGCGAACGGGAUUAGAUACCCCGGCAGUCCUGGCCGUAAACGAUGGGUACUAGGUGUAGGAGGUAUCGACCCCUUCUGUGCCGGAGUUAACGCAAUAAGUACCCCGCCUGGGGAGUACGACCGCAAGGUUGAAACUCAAAGGAAUUGACGGGGGCCCGCACAAGCGGUGGAGUAUGUGGUUUAAUUCGACGCAACGCGAAGAGCCUUACCAGGUCUUGACAUUGAUGGACAGAACUAGAGAUAGUUCCUCUUCUUCGGAAGCCAGAAAACAGGUGGUGCACGGUUGUCGUCAGCUCGUGUCGUGAGAUGUUGGGUUAAGUCCCGCAACGAGCGCAACCCCUAUCUUAUGUUGCCAGCACUUCGGGUGGGAACUCAUGAGAGACUGCCGCAGACAAUGCGGAGGAAGGCGGGGAUGACGUCAAAUCAUCAUGCCCCUUAUGACCUGGGCUACACACGUACUACAAUGGGAGUUAAUAGACGGAAGCGAGAUCGCGAGAUGGAGCAAACCCGAGAAACACUCUCUCAGUUCGGAUCGUAGGCUGCAACUCGCCUACGUGAAGUCGGAAUCGCUAGUAAUCGCAGGUCAGCAUACUGCGGUGAAUACGUUCCCGGGCCUUGUACACACCGCCCGUC